Molecule: long non-coding RNA, 2252 nt
Filed under: Zea mays
Lineage: Eukaryota; Viridiplantae; Streptophyta; Magnoliopsida; Poales; Poaceae
Description: long non-coding RNA (ZMAY_LNC005254)
Source: RNAcentral
GGAGUCAGAGAGACUAGAUAUGUAGAAGGGUGGCUUAUAUUUUCUUGUUGAUGGCUCCUACUGAACUCCCCUACGCUUUACCUAGAUUAGUAAUAUCCAUCUUCUAGAUUUUUUUAGAUAAUGGAAACAAAGUUUGACUUUGGCCUCAAACAAGGUUACGACCAAUUAUUACAACUGAAGGCAACAUAUUGCCUUGAUCCAUCAUACGACCUCACCAAAGAAUACCAACUACUAAAUCAAAGCUACUACAAAGUUAAACGUAACGAAGACCCCGUCCAAAAUUGCGAAAGAAGUGUAGUAGCACCAACUCCACAUGACGACAUGAAGACUUAAUUAAUUCUUGGUCCUCCCUUCUAGGCUGAAGCUGUGUACAGAAGCGGCACUAAUAAGUUGCCCUGAAGGUUACCUGCAAACAAGAUUUAGGAGACGAUUUAUUGAAAACCACAUCAUUCCUACUUAACCAAAUAGCCAACAAAUUGCCGAUGCAACGGUUAAUAGUAAGUUGUGUGAUAUGGGCAGCAGCCCACUCACCCAAACCCCAAAUAAAUCAUUAGCAUCCCGAGUAGCUCUCAACCCCGUACUUAUUUGUAACAAACGCCAAAUGAAAGACGCAUACAAACACCUGAAAAAACAGGUGUUUCACUGUCUCUAGUCUGCUACAAAAGUAACAGGUCUUAUACUCUUAUUACCGUUCCAAUUUCUCCUAGCCAGGUUAUCUUUUGUUAAAUUUAUACCUCUUUUUAGGUACCACAUAAAAAAUUUAUUUUCAAAUGAAUCUUAAGUUUCCAAAGGUCCUUGUUAUUCAUUCCCACCCCAUUGCCGAGAGUUGCCUUACCCACCAGAUUUCAAGGGGGGUGAAGCAAAGGAAGGCUUCCUCCAUGCCAAGAUAAUGCCGCCACUAUUAUUUCUGUAUGUGAAGGUGCAGUCGUAAGAGAUGCUCUUGAGUUGCAAAAUUUACCAUAGAUUUCAAAACUUUCAUAACUAGGAUGAAAAACAUAGGCGACAAGGGAUCCCCUUGGCAAAGGCCUCGAUGAUGAAGUAUACAGCUGCCAUCCAUCUUCUAGAUUAACCUCCACAAUCUAGAUUGAUGUAAACCUAUGUUGGACCAUACUAGGAUUAUUAGCUUCACUUUGCAAUAUGGAAGGUACACAUGAGCGAAGCUUAUAUCUAAUUUUCUGUUGAGUUUUUUUAUGUUAUGCAUCAUAGCUAUGUGAUACAACACCAACUUAUUGAUAUGCAGUUAGCGAAGCUUCCACAUGAUGAUAUGGAUAUAAUAAAUUGUUUAGGAUACUUGGAUGGUUCAAAUACAAAAAAAUCAUCAAGGACGGGUACUUUCUCUCUCAAAUUUGAUGCCCAAAAGGUAAGCAUAUGUUUUCAUGACUUUGUUAGAAAAAACAUACUUUAUACAACCUUCCGUCUAUUAAGGUGGUGUAUGGUUUUUAGGGCCUAAUUUUUAGUCCCUCAAGUAUUUGGUAAUUUAAAGACUAAAAUAAAAUAAAUUUAAGGGACUAAAAAUUAGUCCCAACAAAUCAAACACCCCUAACAUAUUUGGAUUUUUAAUUUUUAUUGCAGAAGAAAAAUGCUGCCAGAACAGACAAACAAGAUGGUGAGGAAACAUGGGCUUUAUCACGUUUUUUCCCACUUAUUGAGGCACGUGAUUACCAAUCUUUCCUUGUCUACGAUCCUUAGCGAUUUACAUCAAGAAUCACCUACCAUUCCUGAAACAAAAUGAAGCUAUUUUUUUAGUUUAUACCAUGUAUUUAGACCCUGUUGGGAUGAGCUCCCCCAAGCAUCCGGCAUUCCGGCACGCGCAGGGCCCCUCCCUCUGAGCUCCUCACCGUGAGCCUUCCGCUCGGCACCUCGCCUCCUCCUCGAGCUCUGUUCAACGCUCGGCCUCAACCCAGCGGAGCUCAACUCCAGGCGAGGCAGGGGGGGGGGGGGCGCGAUGUCGUGCUUCACCCAGCGAGGUCUCCACGCCUGGUGACCUGCUUCCGCGCCGCCCCAAGCUCCAGCCGCCAGCCCCGGAUUCGCGGCCACCAGCUCGCGACGGCGCCACUCCUUAGGCCGGCGCGGCCCCUCAUGCCGGCGUGCCUGCCACCAGCGGCGGCGCGGGCCUUCUCCCCUUCGCCUGCGCGGACGCACCCUUCUGCGCAGACAGCCUCCCCUCCACCGACGCCGACGACGCCACCUGGGCCGAACCUGACCUAAGCGGCACGACCGCGGCUCCCCUCACCUUUGGCGGUGCGCCUGCA